AUGCCAUGGUGAGGACAAUUUUUAAUCAUCAUAUUAAACCUCUUAAAUGCUUCAUGAAACAUUUCACCCGAUUGUUGUUGAAAACUUCUCAAACUCCUUCUAGCAU
RNAcentral lists this small nucleolar RNA (106 nucleotides) under Helianthus annuus (common sunflower). RNAcentral's name for it is "Plant small nucleolar RNA R71". It matches the Rfam family "Plant small nucleolar RNA R71". From Rfam's summary of the family: R71 is a member of the C/D box family of snoRNAs containing the C (UGAUGA) and D (CUGA) box motifs. Multiple nearly identical copies of this snoRNA have been identified in Arabidopsis, and it is thought to function as a 2'-O-ribose methylation guide for 18S ribosomal RNA. Lineage: Eukaryota; Viridiplantae; Streptophyta; Magnoliopsida; Asterales; Asteraceae. The record is from RNAcentral.